RNAcentral lists this long non-coding RNA (1240 nucleotides) under Bos grunniens (domestic yak). RNAcentral describes it as "lncRNA (ENSBGRG00000009508.1)". Lineage: Eukaryota; Metazoa; Chordata; Mammalia; Artiodactyla; Bovidae. The record is from RNAcentral.
CAAAAUAAUGUGCAAGCAAUAAAUGCUGGAGAGGGUGUGGAGAAAAGGGAAUGCUUCUAUACUGUUGGUGAGAAUGUAAACUGGUACACCUGCUAUGGAGACCAGUAUGGAGGUUCCUUAAAAAAUGAAAAAUAGAACUACUAUAUGAUCCAGUAAUCCCACUCCUGGGAUAUAUCUGGAGAAAACCAUAAUCUGAAAAGAUACUUGGACCUCAGUGUUCAUUGCAGCACUAUUUACAAUAGCCAGGACAUAGAAUCAAGCUAAGUGUCUAUCAACAGAGGAAUGGAUAAAGAAGAUGUGGUAUAUAUAUACAAUGGGACAUUACUCAGCCAAAACAAAGAACAAAAUAAUGUCAUUUGCACCAACAUAGAUGGACCUAGAGAUUGUCAUACUGAGUGAAGUCAGUCAGACAGAAAAGGACAAAUAGUAUAUGGUAUUGCUUAAAUGCAGACUCUAAAAAAAUGAUUCAAAUGAACUUAUCUGCAAAACAGAAAUAGUUACAGACGUAGAAAACAAUCUUACGGUUAUGGGGCAGGGAGGGAUAAACUGGGAGAUUGGGAAUGACAUAUACACACUACUAUAGAUAAAAUAGAAAACUAAUAAGGACCUACUGUAUAGCCCAGAAAACUCAACUCAAUACUAUGUAAUGAUCUAUAUGGGAAAAGAGUCUAUUAAAAAGAGUGGAUAUACGUGUAACUGAUUAACUGUGCUGUACAGAAGAAAGUAACACACAACAUUGUAAAUCAACUCUAUUCCAACAACAAUAAUAAUAAUAAAGAAGGUAAUUGCAUUUAAGCCUUAUUUUUAAAUGCAUAAGGACAACAGCUAACUAUUCCUAAUACUUUCAGGCAAUGAACGACACCAAUGAAGACACAAUCCUUGUUCCAAAGAAACAUAAUUAAAUUAGCCAUUUUUCACUGCUUCCUGGAGAAAAAUUAAAAGCAGGUCUACGGACAAGAAAGACUUGUUCAGACGCUGAGCAAGAUGGAAAAGUGUGAGAUUCAGAUUUUUCCCCAAAGGAGUUUACCAACUAGAUGGCAAGGCAAUUCCUCCUACACAAAAGAAUCGGAUAAAAGUUAUGGACACUGCAUGGUUCAGAGUUCAGCACUUUUAACAAAGACUGUAUGACUCUCAAAACAAGAUAUUUACUGCCUGGCUGGCCCUCACAUAAAAGAUCACCCAUCUCUCUCUAGACUUUUGGAGUCUUCUGCUUCCAGCUGGUAGGAGAGCAGACAUGAAG